AAUGACACGAUCACUCCCGUUGAGUGGACACCCAAGAAGCCAUCGGGAUUAUCGUGUCCGCCC
RNAcentral lists this microRNA precursor (63 nucleotides) under Dasypus novemcinctus (nine-banded armadillo). Its description in RNAcentral is "microRNA dno-mir-425 precursor". Its record names the gene dno-mir-425. It matches the Rfam family "mir-425 microRNA precursor family", at positions 13 to 75 of the family's 85-position model. Lineage: Eukaryota; Metazoa; Chordata; Mammalia; Cingulata; Dasypodidae. The record is from miRBase by way of RNAcentral.